CAGCAGCAGCCGCGGUAAAACGGAGGGUGCAAGCGUUAAUCGGAAUUACUGGGCGUAAAGCGUGCGUAGGCGGUUCGUUAAGUCUGUUGUGAAAGCCCCGGGCUCAACCUGGGAAUGGCAGUGGAUACUGGCGAGCUAGAGUGUGUCAGAGGAUGGUGGAAUUCCCGGUGUAGCGGUGAAAUGCGUAGAGAUCGGGAGAAACAUCAGUGGCGAAGGCGGCCAUCUGGGACAACACUGACGCUGAGGCACGAAAGCGUGGGGAGCAAACAGGAUUAGAUACCCGAGUAGUCCCUGUCUCUUAUAC
Molecule: ribosomal RNA, 304 nt
Filed under: uncultured bacterium
Lineage: Bacteria
Description: partial 16S ribosomal RNA
Rfam family: Bacterial small subunit ribosomal RNA
Source: RNAcentral